UUUACAUGAAACCCUAAGCAACCACCAUCCCACCCAUACGGUGCGAUGGCAACAGGAGCCCCUCCCCCUCUCGUGACAUCAUCCUAGCCAAUCAAGUUUCUGGAUUUCAUUCUAAUGAUGACUUGACUGAUUAUCUGUGAGCACAUAUCUUAGAAUACCGAGCAAAACCAAGGUCGUUAGAUACAUGGAGCUUGCACAGGGAGGAGCAGGUCGUUGUGGAGCAUGGAUUAUGUUUUGAAACUUAUUGAACAUAUGUUACACAUUGGGUUUUCGUACUUAUGCUUCCGCUAUACUUAUAAACUAUGAUUAUGUUUUGGACACCAAUCAUAUUGAAUGAUUGGUUUUACAUUUAUUAUACUUGAU
This 363-nucleotide long non-coding RNA is filed under the name Helianthus annuus (common sunflower). RNAcentral's name for it is "sRNA HanXRQr2_Chr17g0811241". The record is from RNAcentral. Lineage: Eukaryota; Viridiplantae; Streptophyta; Magnoliopsida; Asterales; Asteraceae.